CCUACUGGAGGCAGCAGUGGGGAAUAUUUGGCAAUGGGCGCAAGCCUGACCCAGCAACGCCGCGUGAAUGAAGAAGGCUUUCGGGGUGUAAACUUCUUGUAUCAGGGACGAAGCAAGUGACGGUACCUGAUGAAUAAGCCACGGCUAACUACGGGCCAGCAGCCGCGGUAAUCCGUAGGUGGCAAGCGUUAUGCGGAAUUAAUGGGUGUAAAGGGCGUGUAGGCGGGAGUGUAAGUCAUAUGUGAAAACGAUGGGAUCAACCCAUGGCGUGCAUGUGAAAACGUCGGUCUUGCGUGCUGGAGAGGAAAGCGGAAUUCCGGGUGUAGCGGUGAAAUGAGUAGAUAUACGGAGGAACACCAGUGGCGAAGGCGGAUUGCUGGACAGUAACUGACGCUGAGGCGCGAAAGCGUGGGGAGCAAACAGGAUUAGAUACCCCAGUAGUC
RNAcentral lists this ribosomal RNA (443 nucleotides) under uncultured bacterium. RNAcentral's name for it is "partial 16S ribosomal RNA". It matches the Rfam family "Bacterial small subunit ribosomal RNA", at positions 338 to 795 of the family's 1533-position model. The record is from RNAcentral.